CCGUGCCGAGCGCGUUCCUCAGUCCGCCCCAGGGCAUUACACGACGGGCUAUAACACUCCCCGAAGGGAGCCACAUUCCCGCCGCCUUUAUCCCCCGGGGCAAACUGAUGCUGGCCUGGACUGGCAGAGUGCACCGGCGAGAACGCCGGAUGUUCAACCAAGCCCAAGUCUGGUCAUGAAUGCUUCCCUUUCAACAAUUUCACGUACUUUUUAACCCUCUUUUCAAAGUGCUUUUCAUCUUUCGAUCACUCUACUUGUGCGCUAUCGGUCUCUGGCCGGUAUUUAGCUUUAGAAGACGUACACCUCCCAUUUAGAGCAGCAUUCCCAAACUACUCGACUCGUCGAAGGAGCUUUACAGAGGCUUGGUGGUCCUACCGUACGGGGCUCUCACCCUCUAUGGCGUCCCGUUCCAGGGAACUCGGAAGGCACCUCGCCAAAAGCAUCCUCUACAAAUUACAACUCGGACCUUGCGGCCAGAUUUCAAAUUUGAGCUGUUGCCGCUUCACUCGCCGUUACUGAGGCAAUCCCUGUUGGUUUCUUUUCCUCCGCUUAUUGAUAUGCUUAAGUUCAGCGGGUAUUCCUACCUGAUCCGAGGUCAACCUUAAAAAAUUGGGGGUUUCACGGCGUGGCCGAGCCGCUCUCCGGUGCGAGGUGUGCUACUACGCAGGGGAGGCUGCGGCGCGACCGCCACUCAAUUUGGGGGACAGGGGCCCGGAGGCCGCUGAUCCCCAGCACCAGGUCCCCCCCGAAAGGGGGUCCUGAGGGUUGAAAUGACGCUCGGACAGGCAUGCCCGCCGGAGUGCCGGCGGGCGCAAUGUGCGUUCAAAGAUUCGAUGAUUCACUGAAAUUCUGCAAUUCACAUUACU
This 866-nucleotide unclassified non-coding RNA is filed under the name Sarocladium kiliense. RNAcentral describes it as "sequence contains 18S rRNA gene, ITS1 and 5.8S rRNA gene, ITS2 and 28S rRNA gene". The record is from RNAcentral. Lineage: Eukaryota; Fungi; Ascomycota; Sordariomycetes; Hypocreales; Sarocladiaceae.